RNAcentral lists this non-coding RNA (228 nucleotides) under Clostridium magnum. RNAcentral's name for it is "T-box sequence". It matches the Rfam family "T-box leader". From Rfam's summary of the family: Uncharged tRNA acts as the effector for transcription antitermination of genes in the T-box leader family. T-boxes are found upstream of many aminoacyl-tRNA synthetase genes and some amino acid biosynthetic genes usually in Gram-positive bacteria. Lineage: Bacteria; Bacillati; Bacillota; Clostridia; Eubacteriales; Clostridiaceae. The record is from RNAcentral.
UUAAAAACUUUGAACAGGAAAAGUACAUAAACCGUGUUACUUACAGAGAGUGGAGAUAGGUGGAAGUCCACAGGAAAGGUUUAAGGAAAAUCACCUGGGAGUUGAGAGACUGAAUAUAUUAUUUAUUUAGUAAGUUUCUACGUGGUUCUGCGUUAAAGAAUGGAGUAUGCUUGUGCUUAAAGUAAUUUUACCCGUAGGUGGUAUAGCGAAUUUAACUUCGUCCUAUUA